CGGAGGAUCCAAGCGUUAUCCGGAAUUAUUGGGCGUAAAGGGCUUGUAGGCGGUUUGUUACGUCGGAAGUGAAAACUCAGGGCUCAACCCUGAGCCUGCUUCCGAUACGGACAAACUAGAGGAAUACAGGGGGAGAAUGGAAUUCCUGGUGGAGCGGUGGAAUGCGCAGAUAUCAGGAGGAACACCGGUGGCGAAGGCGGUUCUCUGGGCAUUUCCUGACGCUGAGAAGCGAAAGCGUGGGGAGCAAACAGGCUUAGAUACCCUGGUAGUCCACGCCGUAAACGGUGGGCACUAGGUGUGGGGAACAUUCCACGUUCUCCGUGCCGAAGCUAACGCAUUAAGUGCCCCGCCUGGGGAGUACGGCCGCAAGGCUA
Molecule: ribosomal RNA, 374 nt
Filed under: uncultured organism
Description: bacterial SSU rRNA
Rfam family: Bacterial small subunit ribosomal RNA
Source: RNAcentral